Labrus mixtus (cuckoo wrasse) is the source of this 4065-nucleotide long non-coding RNA. RefSeq lists it as uncharacterized. The record is from RefSeq and is a predicted model, not a curated record. The transcript has 2 exons. Lineage: Eukaryota; Metazoa; Chordata; Actinopteri; Labriformes; Labridae.
UCGUAGUAACAGAACCAAAAUGGCGUAGCGCGGAGGGUGUGCGGAGACGGGGGACGAGGGGACCUUCUCCUCUCCGGGCUGAAAGAAGGAGGACACGGGGACGAGCCUGGAGCUGGAGGAGCAUCGGUACCUCCUCUUCAUGUGUCCUCACUCAGCUCGGUCACUUUCCCGACAUUCAAACCAGAAACAGGUCCGGUUUGGGAGGGCUUAAUGUGUCACCGUAGAAGAAGAAACCCCCCUGGCUUUUGUUUACCAUGAUGAGCAGCUCGAACCUCAGAUCCGCAUCAGACCAAGGACGAGUUUCCAGCUGUGAGAGGAUCAGCUCCAUCGGUGGACCGCUUCCCUCGCCCGUCUGUGGCGGUUAACGAUGAAGAGUCACGGUGAAGAUGACCUCUUUUGGGGAUUCUGGCACACGGCUGUCCUCCUUCCUGCUGGGACAUCGACCUUCUCUCCUCCACGGCGCCCUCCCAUCUCUUCGUCUCAGCUUCUGCUCACGAUCGUCAGUCAGGUCGUGGGAACGUUUGACUUCCAUCGCACACUUUGACCACGUCUACAUGACGCCGAGUCCUCAAAACGAGGAGGUGUCAGUUCUCGCUGCCGCCGUCAGGCUGCGUGUAGACGAAAGUCGGCGGGAUGGAAAGCAAACGCCACACGCUCUGUGAUUAGAUCGGGACAGUUUGGCUCAGCGAAGACACGAGAUACUGUAGCAAAGAUCGAGGCCUGUGAUGAAACUCAAAAUGUGUUUUUAUUAUCGUUUUUAUUUUUCUACCUCAUCGCCAUGACAACCCCAACAGGAGUGGGAGGGAGCUUGAACGGCGCCGCAGCAGUUCAAUAAGUUGAACCUGUACUGAUCAGGUCUGAGGGUUUAAAUCUGACAGAGACGACGGAGCAGCCCAGAAGCGCACGCCACACGCACGCCACACGCUGUCGUUUACUUUCAGUUUAACCAUCGCGAGGAAAACGCCGACUCGCUCGAACUCUGCGUCUGAUCUAAAGGAAUGUUUCAGUUCUUAGAUGUUGUGAUGAGUUUAUUAACAAACAGACAGAACCUGCAGAGUUCCCCGUGUGGAUCUGAACCCGGAGGUCGCUCAGCAAACCGUCGUUUCUGACCUUCGUAUUCUCGUGUUUCCCGCUCUCUGACGGCGUCCUUAUAUCUCUCUGCUUUCUCCUGAUACGACCUUACUGUUGUUUUAUGUGUGAGCAAGUUAUCGUUUGGUUCCUGGACCGCCGAUUUGUAGUCUCCAGAUCGCUAUUCUGAGCGUCUCCAUCUUGUUUUUGUUUUUGAAUCAAAUUGUGCGGCAAAAGACGACCGUGUUGUUGACCAGCGGGAUAAAUAUCAGGAAGUGUUUAAACUUAAGUUUUAAAAACAUGAGUAGUAACACAGAAGUUGCACCAGAUGCGUUUCAGCUCCGCUUCGCGCUCCCUCGUCCGUCAACGCCCACAGGCGGCGUUCUCAGAGCACGUCGGACAGUCACAUGACGAAGGAGUUCCCGCGGUGAUUACACGACAGCGCGAGAUAAAACAAUGUGAUAUAAACAGAGCGGGGACGGAGCGAACUCACAUCUGGUGGUAUUUAGCAGUAAAGCUGUGAUGAAGUGGGCGUGUCUGUUAAUGUCCUGAAACCACGCCCACUCGCGGGAAAGACACGCCUCUCUCAACUGUCAAAAACUGCUCAAAUUCUGGCGUCCAGGGAAGAUCACGUUUCAGAACUUAAGAAGUCUCGGCGAGUUUUUCAAACCUGCAGGUCGUGAUGUUGUAACUCUCGCGUCAUCGAGCCGCCCAUUUAGCCCCGCCCCCCUAAAAACCCCUGAACAUAAAAGAGACGAAAACGUCUUAAAUAUUUGACUUUGCUUUCCCCGUAUUUUACUUCCUGUAGUUGAAGUCGAGCUGAAGGAGACCCCCGCCUCACGUCUCCGACCUUUUUUAAACUUUUUAUUGAAUGAUUUUUUUUUUUUAAUCAAGUUUUCCGGGAUUUGUGCAAUAUUUGAUCUUAACUGUCAUGUUGUUGACCAAACUGUAUAUUGUAUAAAACAAGUGACGAGUUGUUUGAAAAGCAACAAAAUCACCAAUGUCUUCCAUUAAGAAAUGUAUAGACUCAUGUGCGUUAGCGUAUUUAGCAGGACUUGUGGUGCUAACGUUAGCGUAGCCGUGCAUGCCCAGUAGUGAUGCUUGCUUCAUGAAGAAAAAGUGAAAUCCACCUCCAGGCGGCGCUGGAGCUCGGUUACCGUGACGAUGAGCGAGGUGUAGUUCGACGUCUCGCACCUCGAAACAUUUUAGACGACAGCUCCGCCCUUCGAUCUUCGACUCAUCUUUUUUAUUCGGCGUCUCCAUGGCGACGGUACGACGCGGUCAGGGUGUGCACAUGAUCGGAGGAGGUCGUUCUAUAUAUGCAUGUUAUAACAGAUCCGCUCGAUGUUCUUACAGAGGCGUCCUAAACAGGAAGUAGAGAGUCGUUAAAUCAGAAACUAAAAAAACUUUAUUGGAAGAUUUUGAGUUUUUUAAUCAACGGUUAAAAGAUUCCUGCUCGUGUUUUUGUGACAUCUCGUUGUACAUAUUACCUCAUAGUUUACAGAGCGAUAUAUUUUAAUCCAUGAAAUUGUAUUUGAUUAGAGUUUUAGAAGCAAUAACCUCCAAUAAUGCAUGAGUUAAUGUGUUCCUCUUCCCCUCUUUGAGCCCUGAAGUAGCUCUCUGUGCGUCUGACUCCUGCAGGACGUGUUCGAGCUGUAGCAUCAUUAAAUAUCUUUCUCAUGUUUAAAUAAAAGCCCGGCCGUGUACAAGUCUUUGUAGCAUUUUAACAUCAACCGUCCCGCCCUCGUUUGAAAAGCGUCAGUAACUCUGUGGCUGCAAACGUCUGACUCUGACUCGUGUUUGAAAAGCACUUUCUCUCCACGCUCGGGUCACAGACUGUGUAUACAAACGGACAGCGUGCCGUAGCUUCCUCAAGCUGAACAGGAUGAAGCCAAAAUAUAUCUCCCGAGACGAGCGCUGACAUGUCGAGAAUUGAGCAGGAAGAGCCGGGGUAUUGACAAAAACCCACCUUUCACUUUGAGUCAAAGGUCAAAGUUCGCUCAGGUGGGGUCAGUCAACGGCAGAACAGAUUCAUGUGUCUGUUUGAAGCAGACACUAAACCUUACGGAGAGUUCAACGACUCCUGUGUUUGUUUUGUCCACUACGCUAAUAAUCCGAUGCAGGAGCCUCAUUGGUCAACAGAGCUGUCAAUCAUGAGGUUUUAUAUCAAAUAACAGAAACAAUCAUGAUGAAACCAGGUUUGUUAAAAAUGUAUCUGAAGUGCAUUUUGAUUUUAAUAGUUUGACCCCCGUCCCGUCUGCUAACACGGAGGAGGCGGGGUUUAUGAGCUGUACCGCAGCCAGUCAGCAGGGGGAGCUCUAAGUGUUUUGGCUUCACUUGAGGCACUGUGUCCCACUGUCCAUUCUUCAUACAGUCUGUGGUUCUGACUCAUCCUCAUCACUCCAUCCUGUCUUGAACAGUGUCCUUAAACCCCCUGAAACGCCGUGUGGGGGGGUUAAUUAUCCGUUUCUAAACGAGUAGGCGUCUAAUGGAUCUAUGGGUUUAAAAAUAUGCAUGACUUCUAGCAGAGUAAUGAAUGAUUUGUAUUGCAUGCAAUAAUCCAACUUUGUAAUGUGAAUGAGUGUGAGUAGGCUAACGAGAUGUUCAUUAUCAGAUGUUCUGUGACCAAUCGGGGAACGGCGAGCACGUUGACGUAGCGUUGAUCAUCAGCCGUGGUUUAACGCACCAAAAAAAAAGAAGACUCGACGGAGAGACGUCUGAGUGUUUCAGCGCUCUCUCUCUCUGUUGUCGAGUCAUGACCACGGCGGUGCAGCUGAAAACACCUUCUGUUCCCGUGUUUUAAAAAAAGCAGCAGCGUAGGUUAAUGGAUCCACUUCUCCACGCAGGAGGAGGGCUGUGUAGAAACUAUGCACUCCACAGGGAGGAAAUGGGCAUGCUUAUUAUGUGUGAGCCUCUUGUCUGGUUUUGUAUUAUUAACAAAAAAAAAAAGAAAUCUGUAUCAGAAAUUCAGCAAUAAAAUGCAGCAUGGUGCCAAUA